CAGGGAAUCUUCCACAAUGGACGCAAGUCUGAUGGAGCAACGCCGCGUGAGUGAAGAAGGGUUUCGGCUCGUAAAGCUCUGUUGUUAAAGAAGAACGUGGGUAAGAGUAACUGUUUACCCAGUGACGGUAUUUAACCAGAAAGCCACGGCUAACUACGUGUCAG
This 164-nucleotide ribosomal RNA is filed under the name uncultured bacterium. RNAcentral's name for it is "partial 16S rRNA". It matches the Rfam family "Bacterial small subunit ribosomal RNA", at positions 355 to 511 of the family's 1533-position model. The record is from RNAcentral.